AAGGACGUAAGAUAAACCCUUUCCGCCGGUGUAGGUCUGGCCCCACCACCCAAAAUACAUCAGCCAAAUAUCAAGCAUUAAAAUGGAGAUACUUAUGUGUGUCGGCAAUUGACGGAAAGUAGUAGCACUGCACUUGUAAGAGCAUUUCUUCUUUUGUACCAACUUUUUGAUUCUUGAGCACUCACACUGAAGUAAUUAAUUAAUGGUUUCAUAUUGGCUUUGGGAAGUAGGAUAAACAAAUGAAGGAGAAACUAAUGGAAAACAUAAGGCAGCGGAAACUUAGCGAUUUGCAAUUUUGCUAGUCAUUAACCAUGCGGCGGAUUUGCUUAAACUUUGCAAGAGAAUAUUGUGUUCCACCAUUUGAGUAGGUGUUCGGGUAUGGAAUUUCAAUUCCCGUCUCCCGAGUACAUACAUACAUACAUAACUAAUGUAUUGUUGUUCAUUUCCUUCAGUCAAUAAAGC
RNAcentral lists this long non-coding RNA (462 nucleotides) under Nicotiana tabacum (common tobacco). RNAcentral describes it as "long non-coding RNA (NTAB_LNC018668)". The record is from RNAcentral. Lineage: Eukaryota; Viridiplantae; Streptophyta; Magnoliopsida; Solanales; Solanaceae.